Molecule: ribosomal RNA, 224 nt
Filed under: uncultured bacterium
Lineage: Bacteria
Description: partial 16S ribosomal RNA
Rfam family: Bacterial small subunit ribosomal RNA
Source: RNAcentral
ACUCUGGAAUAGCCUUUCGAAAGAAAGAUUAAUACCGGAUAGUAUACGAAUAUCGCAUGAUAUUUUUUAUUUAAAGAAUUUCGGUUAUCGAUGGGGAUGCGUUCCAUUAGUUUGUUGGCGGGGGUAACGGGCCCACCAAGACUACGAUGGAUAGGGGUUCUGAGAGGAAGGUCCCCCACCAUUGGAACUGAGACACGGUCCAAACUCCUACGGGAGGCAGCAUG